AUCCUGGUAAGUUUUUAUUUUUCUAAAACAUAAAACAUAUUUAAAAUUCAUUUAUCCAGGGCAUGCUAUGGCAUGCUAUGCCUGAAAAAAAUUUACAACUGCGCAGGUUUGUCUGUACUCAGAGUAAAUUUUGAGGUGAAAAUACGGCCAUUUUAGCCAGAGUCCACAUGAACCUGAAUCAAAGUAUCAUGAUAACAUCUCAUGACACUCUUAAGGAUAUAAUAUUGUAAAGGGCAAGAUGAAUUUCUUGAAAGACAAAUUGACUGCCCUAUGGAUUCAGCAUCCCAACAACAAAAUAAAGACAUAAUAAGUUUUAACCGAUGCGAAUUAAAGAGUUUUUUUUAAAGGGCUCACCGUCAGGGGCGGACCCGGCCAUUUUUAAAAGGGGGGGGGGGUCCCAACCCAGGACAAAAAGGGGGGUGUUCCAACUACAUGUCCCCAUUCAAAUGCAUUGAUCGUCCAAAAAAAGGUGGGGUUCUAACUACAUGUCCCCAUUCAAAUGCAUUGAUCGUCCCAAAACAGGGGGGUUCUAACCCCCGGACCCAAUCGGGAUUCGCCACUGCACCGUAAUUCAAAGUAUCAAAAAACCGAACACCUUGACAACUCAUCACUGUCAUGCUGUUGACCACUCACCACUGUCAUGCUGUUGACCAUGGAUAGGAAGUCGUUCUGUUUAAUAGUUUCUGAAAAGUGCAUGUGACGCAAAUUUGUUUGACUAAGUAGGACGGAGAUGAUUGCAAGCCCAACUUAAACGAGUUCUACCAAAGUUCAAUUAAAUGAAGUGGAUAUAAGAAAUUAAAGGCAACCGACCGUACUUGUUAUCUUUUCAGUCAAUAGACAACUGAAAUAAUUCCUAUCUGGCGUAAAAAUAGUUUUCCGUAGUCGGCUUAUCACGACACACGGAAGACCACGCUUAUUUCAAACUAGUAUGAAGAGCUGAUUUUUAUUUAUUCCUUUUUGUACAAUGUAUUUUCUCAAGGAUAAGGUUUUAUCAUCUCUCACCAAGAUAUAUAAGUUUUUAAACCUCAUUCACUUUUAAAUUUAACAUUUACACUAAAAAGAAAUAUUCCGCCUGCAUGAACACAUAAUUGAUUUUACGAGAUUCAACAUUUACAUAUAACCUUAAAUAUUCUGCCAACUGUGGACCUGUUUUUUGGACUAGAGAUGAAGAACAGCAAUAAAAGUGCGGUUCAUUUGCCGAUGGUUCAUGUUUUUUGUUGUGCUUGUACUAAAUUUGUGUCAUCGAUACCCUAUAUUAUUUGUUCUAUUAUCAUAGCUUUUUGUUGUUGUAUGUGUCCUGGGAACAUAUAUAUCAAUAUCACUAUCAAUAUACAUGUUCCUCAGUGGCGGAUCCCCAACUUUGUCCUGGGUUUAGGAAACUCCCUUUUCAAAAUGGCUGGUUUCGCACCUGUUCCUGAUUUGUCCUGGGAUUGCUGUCUCUUGACUUCAAUAUCUCUUGUUAUUUCAUAUUUUUGUACUUAUUUCCCAUUUCAGCUACGGAUCCAGAAGAAUUCACAAGGGGAAGGGACUGUCAUAAUAGGAGAUACGCGCUCGUGAUUCCCUUAAUAAUCUUCCAAUUUAUGUUUCACAAAAAUGAGGGCCCGCCUCUGCAUUUUUCCAUACUUCUCACGUGACACCGCUAAGCUUAAAGUGAAACCAAUCGACAUUCAACUUUGUUUAAGCCAGUCAAGGUCGCUAAACACAUAAUCACCAAUUCAACUUUUUAAAUAUGUAGUCUGAAUCCAUGAUGAUCUGGAUGGGCUUUACAGAAAUGUGCAGAACAAAAUUGCUAAUCAUAGAGAAAAUAGGGCCACAAUAAUGAAUAGAGAAUAACAGGGAACUGUAACAUCAAUCAGAGAUUGAAAAUGGGGGGAAAUAUUAACAAAUUGAAUGAAGGGCUGCCAACCAGACCCUCACAAUUCGGUACUGUAGCUAUAUCUGAAGUAAUAGUGUAAUAAUGU
This 1961-nucleotide long non-coding RNA is filed under the name Mytilus galloprovincialis (Mediterranean mussel). The record is from RNAcentral. Lineage: Eukaryota; Metazoa; Mollusca; Bivalvia; Mytilida; Mytilidae.